GAUCCAUAGAACAAAAAGUGCCUGAACGGACAAGGCCUCUGGAAUAUUGCAGAAAACUGUGGAUCUUCAGGAGAGUAAGACCUGGACUUUGCUGAAACUUCUGAGCUCUGCUUCAGUCUCCUAGGCGCAAAGACCUGGUCUCUAUGAAGCUCAGUGUCUGUGAGACGCUACCAUCAUGGCAGCCCCCGUUCAUGUUUCUCUUGCUGACCUAUCCUCUGCAGGGGAAGCCAAGUCUGCUAACGGGGUGGUGCCGUGCGGACACUCAAUGUUGCAGUUAAACCACAUCCCUUAAGAAGGAAACCUAAGGUGGCUGCUCAUUUGAGGUUCUCCAGUGGCCACACCAAUGAUAUGAGUGUGAGUCCACAUGCAGGACGAUUUAAUGGCUGUGCAGUCAUGCUCAAAAGCCCCACACCAGCCUCCUCUGCAACAACAACUGCAACAACAACAGAGAUAUGACAGCCUCCCUCUCUCAUUGCUAAGGAAGGACUUCAAAGCACACUGAGUAAUUUGCAUUUCUUAUCCCAGGACAGAGAGAAUUAUAAUAAAGCAUUCGUUGGCUUUUUCUCUUCAGGACCAGAGUCUUGUAUGUUCAGUUCUUUGGCUUUUGAGUUCCAAACCUGUAGGAGAACUUCUAAGCCCAGCAAAUUUUGAAGCAUCCCUGAUGAAUUCCUUCAUCCCGA
Molecule: long non-coding RNA, 680 nt
Filed under: Homo sapiens (human)
Lineage: Eukaryota; Metazoa; Chordata; Mammalia; Primates; Hominidae
Description: HSALNT0219968
Source: RNAcentral